RNAcentral lists this long non-coding RNA (246 nucleotides) under Physcomitrium patens. RNAcentral's name for it is "long non-coding RNA (PPAT_LNC003391)". Lineage: Eukaryota; Viridiplantae; Streptophyta; Bryopsida; Funariales; Funariaceae. The record is from RNAcentral.
GCUGGUGUAGUUUAGAUUUUGCUAUCCCAGAUACUCCAUCAUUAUGAAGCCUUGCCACCACUCCUUCAAUCUUUGCAGUUCUUUGUGAUAACGUAGCGAGGGCAUUCAUAAUAGCAUCUAACUUAGACUCCGAACUUUCUGUCAUACUAAUGUCUUGACCUCCGGCCAUUCUAAAAGAAGGACAAAAAUGACCCUAUAAGAGGCAAUAUUGGUUUAUAGGAGGGUAAUCCACAACCGAUAAAACAC